GGAGUAAUGCAUUUUUAGUUCGCUUAAUGUAUAAGAAAAAGACUUACAUCAGACGUGUAUUAAUGUUGUUUCAUUUAAAAGCAUCAAUUUGGGGAUAUAAUGUAUUGGUUUAUAUUAUUCACGAAUCAAUAUAUAAGCUUUAUCGAUGUAGAUUUAACCUGGCUAUCCCCCCCUUUCUCGCACAUGGUCCGGUCCAGUUCAAAGCUCCAAGCGGGAGGAGGAAGCUAGCUGUGUUUUGUUGAUGUUUCUUGGGGAAGAAAACGCUCCACAGGAUGGACAUGGCUACGUCUUUGAAGUCUCUGUUGCUGGCUGUCCAGCAGUACAGAGACGGCAGGACAGCGCAAAACGCAGCGCAGCUACAGAAACAAGUGGAGGAGGUCUCGGGCCUUAAAUGUGACCAGCUGCUGUCCUCAGGCCAGGUUCUGCCCCGGGAGUGUGG
Perca flavescens (yellow perch) is the source of this 439-nucleotide long non-coding RNA. RefSeq lists it as uncharacterized. The record is from RefSeq and is a predicted model, not a curated record. The transcript has 3 exons. Lineage: Eukaryota; Metazoa; Chordata; Actinopteri; Perciformes; Percidae.